GUUUUUGCACUGCUUUUCACCCUCGUUACCGUUUCCUUUUCCCCAUAGGUGAAGGCAAUCCCCAGUCACUAAUCUUUGUUCUUUGCCGCUCGGCCUCUCCGGGUGACUUUGCCAAAACAUUAACAGCAAUUAAUACUAGGAGGACUAAACAGAGCAGAUGUUCUGUAAUCCCACACCAAAAGGCAACCUGGGAAUGUUGGAAGUUCUGCAGCCAGAAGUGUUACCCAGACGUAUUUAGAGGAUUUGGACCAUCUGGGCCUUCCUGACAACCAUGACCCCGCUGGGGCUCCUCAUCAUCUGCAGGUGCACGGCAGACCCGAGGAAAUCUGCGUGAGGAGAGCAUAUCUUGUAUGCCUGGAGAUACAGCAGCUCUGCUAAGGAGCUACCCCUGAGCCACUCUCCUGGAACCUGCUGCACAGCACAAGGAAUGAAAGAAGAGCUUCUGCAUUGCCUAAACAUAGAAGAACUGCUGCCCCGUUAAGGCCAUUUCAUGCUAUCUCCAGGGCAUGCCAACGGUGACCAUUCAAUGGUGGCAGGGUAAGAACAAGGUAAGCUUACAGCAGUGCCUCACCUGAGCACCAGUCCAUCUUCUGAGGAUCUGCUGUUGGGUGAUCUGUGCCAGAGGCGAUGUCCUUGUGCCCCUCUGCUGAGCUGCUCCAGGAGGAGAGGGACCCGAGUCCUGCCUGGGGAGAUACAAACAUCAUCGUAACUCUCGCCCUUUUGCAAAUGCAGUGUUGGUGUUGAAAAGCUCGACCUUGCGCUGCCCCACGGUCUGACAUUGAUACCAAGUGCGAUAGCUUCCACUGAGUAACCAGAACAGACAUGGCUGUGGAAAUCCCAGAUUAACAAAUUCUGAUUAAAAAAACCCCACCAUAGUCUCAAUGGCAUGCAUGUGCAGCUGGACUAAGAUUGCCAAUGGCUGUGAGCUUUCAGCAAAAAGGGCUGUGACAUCUCUCAGUGUAUGGAGCUCUAAUUACAGCGGUCAAGGACAGAAGUCCCUUUCUCUUUUCUGCCCCAUUCCCUAAGACUUUUCUCAUGCCCCAACACUCUC
Long non-coding RNA from Gavia stellata (red-throated loon), 1051 nucleotides. RefSeq lists it as uncharacterized. The record is from RefSeq and is a predicted model, not a curated record. Lineage: Eukaryota; Metazoa; Chordata; Aves; Gaviiformes; Gaviidae. The transcript is spliced from 4 exons.